UACAUGCCUCGGCGCAUGCGCAGUGGCGCUGGCCUGUGCCCGCUCCAACUACAGUUCCCGGCGUGCUCCGCGCCGGCGCCGCGCACGCGCCGCAGGGGGUCCGUGGUGGAGGAGCGGGCGCUCUGCUGUCCCCCGCCGGCGGCCGGCAGACGGUCCCGCGUCUGCCCCGGUCCCCGCCCCCCACCCCGAGCCGUGGACAUGGAGGUGGACGUCGGCUCCGUGGUCUCGGGGCUGUCGGGCGGGGAUGGAGCAGGCGCGGGCCAGGCCGAUGAGGAUCAGGAGAUGGAAGGGGCUCCCAGCUGUUCGGGGGCGCGCCCCGUCCCCUUCGAGUUCGAGCGGAGCCGCUCGGAGUCCAGCGGCGAUGAGGACGACGACGAAGACGACGAGGAAGAGGAGAUGGAGGAAGAAGAGCUCGAGGGGGACCCCGGGGCUCGGUUCGGGACGGACGACGGGGACCUCGACUCGGACGACGACCGUGAGCGUAUGAUAAACCUCGCAGAGUUGACCCCUUACAUCCUGUGUUCCAUCUGCAAAGGUUACUUUAUUGAUGCUACAACCAUUACAGAAUGUCUGCACACCUUUUGUAAAAGCUGCAUAGUGAGACACUUCUACUAUAGCAACAGAUGUCCAAAAUGCAAUAUCGUUGUACAUCAGACGCAACCUCUUUAUAAUAUCAGGCUGGACCGGCAACUGCAAGACAUAGUUUAUAAAUUAGUCGUCAAUUUGGAGGAAAGGGAGAAAAAACAAAUGCAUGACUUCUACAAAGAAAGAGGAUUAGAAGUGCCCAAACCAGCUGUCCCACAGCCAGUUCCAGUGAGCAGAGGAAGACCUCGAAAAGUCCUGGGCUCUGUGUUCCGGAUCCCACCAGAGCUUGACAUCUCCAUACUGCUGGAGUUCAUUGGAGCUAAUGAAGGCACAGGAAAUUUUAAGCCUUUGGAAAAGAAGUUUGUGCGUGUUUCCGGAGAGGCAACAAUUGGACAUGUGGAGAAAUUCCUCAGAAGAAAAAUGGAUCUGGACCCUACUUGUCAGAAGCUGAAAGCAGAAGUAAUGCUGAGCAGUUUAUAUCUUCUGCACACUAAGAUUCAACCUAACAUGAACAGAGUAUUCUACAUCGUUCUCAAACUAUACAGAUGGUGAGGUGGACAUAAUAUGUGGUGAUCACCUGCUAGAACACUACCAGACUCUGAGGGAAAUUCGUCAAGCCAUAGGAGAGAGUGCAGUUCAGGAUGGUUUACUUGUUCUGCACUAUGGCCUGGUGGUAUCUCCAAUGAUUGUAACUUAAAGAUUGGUAGAAUAUCAGAAGGCAGAAGAAUCUGAAGUCAUCAAGCUUCUUCACAGCUGUUUCUCACCAAAGAAGGCCAUUGUAUUUCCUGUGACAGGAAGCAAGGAACUACCACGAACUGCUGUAUGCUCGUAAUAUAACAUCUGACUUUACCAUUGUCAAAAACCAGCUUCUGUAAGUACAGCUAUAGAUGUUGCUAUGCUUUGUGUUACAAAUUACUGUCUUCAAAUUUCACUCGGCUCAGGGAAUUGAAAUGCUCAGAGUAGCUGCAUUUUUUUACUUCCUAAAACCACAAAAUCUCAUGGGGUGAACAGCCUUUUUUUUCCUCUAAACUAUUAGAUAUUGCUUGUUUUCUAAGUGUCUAGCUGGAACAGCACUCUCAGGGAUGAUCUUCAGUGGGCAGUAUAAGUUGUUUUGGGGAGGAGACAGUCGUUUGCCUAAAAAAUAAAGUGUACUGUGAUCAUCUGUCUUCAGAUACGAUUUGGGGAGAGGAAGGUAACUUUAGAAAUGCAGACCAAAAUAGGUAGAAAAUGAUGCAUCGUAAGCAUUGGUUUUUGAGAAGUAGCAUUAAAUUUAGUUGUUUUUCUUGAAGAAAGACAAUUUUGUUUGCACUGGAAAUAUAUUUGCUGGUAGUUUUGGCUUAUACCAAAUGGUGGAUCAUGCAUCUCUAGUAUUAAUGGAGAUGAGCCAGCUGUGAGCUGGUUAAACUAUGCAUGAAAAAGAGAAAAGGUAGCACCUCUUUCUACCUGCUUGCUGUAUGUAAAAUAAUCACUGUCAGCCUCAUUCUGCUGUCAUGUAAGAUCCAUCAACUGACUUGGCUAGCAGGAGCAUAAAUCCUUUAGCACAUAGCUUUCUAGCAGCCAUGGCAAUGGUAGCAUUUUACACUCUUCUAAAUGUGUGUUAGUGUGUUGUAGUGGAGACCAGGGUUGGGUAAUGUAAUACUAGCCUGUUACUACCAGAGUCACAGAGGGCAUUAGGGAACUUUAAUUUUAACAUAUUAAAAUACUAGGUUUUGUGGCAACUGUAAUACUUCAAUUUUUUUCUGUUUCCAUGGUUUCUUGCACAGCAUUAAGGACCGGAGCUUUGUGUCUUAACAGUCUUGCUGCAUACUAGGUCAUCAGUGUGGGGAUUCAUGAAAGCCGCCAUUAUGCACCAGGCCCCCUCCCUGUAGUCAGUGUUGGGAAAGGGGGGAGAUUCCUUUGUCAGGUGUUUUGGAGUACCCAGGUUAGCUCAAAUGCACUUGCUUGCUGCCAGCCUAAGAGGGCUGGCAUCCUUUGUCUAAAGAAGGCUUUCAUGAAUCCUUCCUCAGGUCUUUAUAAUAACUGUUCUGUUUCGUCUGUGAAGGUGACACCAUCAGAAAAAAAAGUCUUAUUUGCAGUAAUUAUUGUAAUGCUUCUAAAAUAACAAAAACAUUUGUAGCUACAAAUUCCUAUUUUACCUUUGAAGUUUGUAUAAAAGUAGUGUUUAAAAUGCAGCAAAAAACGAGGUUAUUUUGUAAACACUUUGUGAGUUGUGUUCAUAAAAGAUUAUAUAUUGUAACAGUAAAAUAAACUUUAUUUUAGCCAACUUAAAAUCGAGCUUCUGUGUUUCCAUGGCAUGCUCCCUAUGUCAGCCUCAGAAUUAGAGCAGUUGAUAUUGAAGCUGCUGGAUGUGCUCUGGGUUUAUAUAGAAUGAUAAAUUUAAGUUAGGAGGUUCAAUGGUGAAGGGUAGUUUCAUACCCAAAUCUUCACUGGAGCUAACUGCGAUAUCCUCAGCUGGAGUAACAUGGAAUUUCUGCAACUUUCCUUUUAAUGAGGAUUUCAGUGAGAAAUAACUCAGUAAAGAUGUCAAGAUGAUUUUUCGACACAGAUACAAGAGAAAUAAUCCUGUGUAGUUACAGUGCCCCUAUUUUCAUCAAUACCUACAUGUUUGUGUCAGAGCCACCUCUAGACUAUUUUCAUUCAUGUUUGUGGCUGUUGCUAUUGAGUCCUCUGUGAACCGGAUCUUUCUCUGCUGCUCUGGUGCAGGCUUUAUGCAAGGCACAGGGCUUGUAUACUUCAUAUUGCCACUUCCUGUUUCACUGUCACUCGUGGGUUUGUUUUCUAUGUAUAGCUCUGUGCUUAAAAAAGUUAGCAGUAUAGUCACAUUUUACAUUGCAAACUCUUCCCUAAUCCAGGCUUGAACUUCAUGUCUACAGAAGGACUGAUUUGCCAAGUUUAACUUGGCAAAUAUAGAAUCUGAUAGUUAAUUCAAAUCAAUGUCAUUCUAGGAUGCUGCUGACUCGCAUAGCCUCAAGAUGAUUGUGCAGCCACUGGCUCUGAUGUCAGUGUCAGUUUCUGUUUAAAAGGGAAAAAAAGGCUUCUGCAUAUGUUUAAAGAGAGGUUUUCUAUAGGGUAAAUGACUUGCCAGCUAAAAUGCAGAAGGCCAAGUCUUCCUACUUCAUUCUUUCAGUGGCUUAAUGAGGAGGAUUGAAGAUCUGUUGCCUGUGAUAUUUUAAUAUGAAUGCUUAGUGACCUCUUACUUCCCAUUUGUCUGCUUCCAUCUUUAUUUCUUCCUCACCUGCCUUCAGAAAGCAUAUUCUUAGCUUACUCUUCCUGGCUGAACAUCCUGCUUUCUGUCACCUUAGCACAUAUCCUGAAGGCACUGAUGUUUUAUCUGCUCUCCAUCCCUGCAGUACCCCCUGGGGCACAUCAGCGUGCAAUGGGGGUGACCUUUAGCUAUUGCCAAGGCUGAUCUGUGGGCUGUGUGGUUUC
Molecule: RNA transcript, 4014 nt
Organism: Strigops habroptila (Kakapo)
Lineage: Eukaryota; Metazoa; Chordata; Aves; Psittaciformes; Psittacidae
Gene: PCGF6
Gene name: polycomb group ring finger 6
Exons: 11
Source: RefSeq, a predicted model, not a curated record